RNAcentral lists this ribosomal RNA (479 nucleotides) under uncultured bacterium. RNAcentral's name for it is "partial 16S ribosomal RNA". It matches the Rfam family "Bacterial small subunit ribosomal RNA", at positions 28 to 523 of the family's 1533-position model. The record is from RNAcentral.
GAUGAACGCUGGCGGCGUGCUUAACACAUGCAAGUCGAACGGUGAAGCAGGAGCUUGCUCUUGUGGAUCAGUGGCGAACGGGUGAGUAACACGUGAGCAACCUGCCCCUGACUCUGGGAUAAGCGCUGGAAACGGCGUCUAAUACUGGAUAUGUGAUGUGACCGCAUGGUCUGCAUCUGGAAAGAAUUUCGGUUGGGGAUGGGCUCGCGGCCUAUCAGCUUGUUGGUGAGGUAAUGGCUCACCAAGGCGUCGACGGGUAGCCGGCCUGAGAGGGUGACCGGCCACACUGGGACUGAGACACGGCCCAGACUCCUACGGGAGGCAGCAGUGGGGAAUAUUGCACAAUGGGCGGAAGCCUGAUGCAGCAACGCCGCGUGAGGGAUGACGGCCUUCGGGUUGUAAACCUCUUUUACCAGGGAUGAUAAUGACAGUACCUGGAGAAUAAGCUCCGGCUAACUCCGUGCCAGCCGCCGCGGUAA